This 371-nucleotide ribosomal RNA is filed under the name unidentified archaeon. RNAcentral describes it as "bacterial SSU rRNA". It matches the Rfam family "Archaeal small subunit ribosomal RNA", at positions 90 to 462 of the family's 1478-position model. The record is from RNAcentral.
UCAGUAACACGUAGUCAACAUGCCCAAAGGACGUGGAUAACCUCGGNGAAACUGAGGAUAAACCGCGAUAGGCCAAGGUUUCUGGAAUGAGCCAUGGCCGAAAUCUAUAUGGCCUUUGGAUUGGACUGCGGCCGAUCAGGCUGUUGGUGAGGUAAUGGCCCACCAAACCUGUAACCGGUACGGGCUUUGAGAGAAGUAGCCCGGAGAUGGGCACUGAGACAAGGGCCCAGGCCCUAUGGGGCGCAGCAGGCGCGAAACCUCUGCAAUAGGCGAAAGCCUGACAGGGUUACUCUGAGUGAUGCCCGCUAAGGGUAUCUUUUGGCACCUCUAAAAAUGGUGCAGAAUAAGGGGUGGGCAAGUCUGGUGCCAGC